CCAGACUCCUACGGGAGGCAGCAGUGGGGAAUAUUGCACAAUGGGGGGAACCCUGAUGCAGCGACGCCGCGUGGGUGAAGGAGUAUUUCGGUAUGUAAAGCCCUAUCAGCAGGGAAGAACAAUGACGGUACCUGACUAAGAAGCCCCGGCUAACUACGUGCCAGCAGCCGCGGUAAUACGUAGGGGGCAGGCGUUAUCCGGAUUCACUGGGUGUAAAGGGAGCGUAGGCGGCGACGCAAGUCUGGAGUGAAAGCCCGGGGCCCAACCCCGGGACUGCUCUGGAAACUGCGGCGCUGGAGUACGGGAGGGGCAGGCGGAAUUCCUGGUGUAGCGGUGAAAUGCGUAGAUAUCAGGAGGAACACCGGUGGCGAAGGCGGCCUGCUGGACUGCAACUGACGUUGAGGCCCGAAAGCGUGGGGAGCAAACAGGAUUAGAUACCCUCGUAC
Molecule: ribosomal RNA, 446 nt
Filed under: uncultured bacterium
Lineage: Bacteria
Description: partial 16S ribosomal RNA
Rfam family: Bacterial small subunit ribosomal RNA
Source: RNAcentral